GACCGCGUAGCUCAGUUGGAAGAGCCUUGGGCUAGUGUUCCAAAGGUUGUAGGUUCGAAUCCCACCGUGGCCG
Molecule: transfer RNA, 73 nt
Filed under: Paramuricea clavata
Lineage: Eukaryota; Metazoa; Cnidaria; Anthozoa; Malacalcyonacea; Plexauridae
Rfam family: tRNA
About the family: Transfer RNA (tRNA) molecules are approximately 80 nucleotides in length.
Source: Rfam by way of RNAcentral